UGGGGAAUAUUGGACAAUGGGGGAAACCCUGAUCCAGCAAUGCCGCGUGAGUGAAGAAGGCCUUAGGGUUGUAAAGCUCUUUCGCCCGCGAAGAUAAUGACGGUAGCGGGAGAAGAAGCCCCGGCUAACUCCGUGCCAGCAGCCGCGGUAAUACGGAGGGGGCUAGCGUUGUUCGGAAUUACUGGGCGUAAAGCGUACGUAGGCGGAUGCGCAAGUUGGGGGUGAAAUCCCGGGGCUUAAUCUCGGAAUUGCCCUCAAAACUGCACGUCUUGAGACCGAGAGAGGUAAGGGGAAUUCCUAGUGUAGAGGUGAAAUUCGUAGAUAUUAGGAAGAAAACCAGUGGCGAAGGCGCCUUACUGGCUCGGUACUGACGCUGAGGUACGAAAGCGUGGGGAGCAAACA
This 402-nucleotide ribosomal RNA is filed under the name uncultured bacterium. RNAcentral describes it as "bacterial SSU rRNA". It matches the Rfam family "Bacterial small subunit ribosomal RNA", at positions 355 to 774 of the family's 1533-position model. The record is from RNAcentral.